UGCAGUCGAACGGGAGUUUAUUUAUAGCAAUAUGAGUGAACUCUAGUGGCGAAAGGGUGCGUAACACGUAGCUACCUACCUCGAAGUUGGGGAUAGCUCGGCGAAAGCCGGAUUAAUACCGAAUGUGAUCGUGAGAUCAAAGCUGGGGAUCGUAAGACCUGGCGCUUUGAGAUGGGGCUGCGGCCUAUCAGCUAGUUGGCGGGGUAACGGCCCACCAAGGCUUAGACGGGUAGCUGGUCUGAGAGGACGACCAGCCACACUGGAACUGAGACACGGUCCAGACACCUACGGGUGGCAGCAGUCGAGGAUUUUUCUCAAUGGGGGAAACCCUGAAGGAGCGACGCCGCGUGAGGGAUGAAGGUCUUCGGAUUGUAAACCUCUGUCAUCUGGGAACAAAGUGCUCCACCUAACACGUGGAGUAUUGAUAGUACCGGAAGAGGAAGCAGUGGCUAACUCUGUGCCAGCAGCCGCGGUAAUACAGAGACUGCAAGCGUUGUUCGGAUUCAUUGGGCGUAAAGGGUGCGCAGGCGGUGUGUUAAGUCGGAUGUGAAAUCUCACAGCCUAACUGUGAUAGGUCAUUCGAAACUGGCAUGCUAGAGGACUGGAGAGGAGACUGGAAUGGUCGGUGUAGCGGUGAAAUGCGUAGAGAUCGACCAGAACACCGGUGGCGAAUGCGGGUCUCUGGACAGUUCCUGACGCUCAAGCACGAAAGCCAGGGGAGCAAACGGGAUUAGAUACCCCGGUAGUCCUGGCCCUAAACGGUGUUCACUUGGUGUGCGGGAGUCGACCCCCUGCNUGCCGCA
RNAcentral lists this ribosomal RNA (803 nucleotides) under uncultured microorganism. RNAcentral describes it as "bacterial SSU rRNA". It matches the Rfam family "Bacterial small subunit ribosomal RNA", at positions 56 to 850 of the family's 1533-position model. The record is from RNAcentral.